CGCUAUCACUCCUACGGGAGGCAGCAGUGGGGAAUAUUGCACAAUGGGCGCAAGCCUGAUGCAGCCAUGCCGCGUGUAUGAAGAAGGCCUUCGGGUUGUAAAGUACUUUCAGCAGUGAGGAAGGUGGUGCCAGUUAAUAGCUGUAUCAUUUGACGUUACCUACAGAAGAAGCACCGGCUAACUCCGUGCCAGCAGCCGCGGUAAUACGGAGGGUGCGAGCGUUAAUCGGAAUUACUGGGCGUAAAGCGCAUGCAGGCGGCCUGUUAAGUCAGAUGUGAAAGCCCGGGGCUUAACCUCGGAAUUGCAUUUGAAACUGGCAGGCUAGAGUCUUGUAGAGGGGGUAGAAUUUCAGGUGUAGCGGUGAAAUGCGUAGAGAUCUGAAGGAAUACCAGUGGCGAAGGCGGCCCCCUGGACAGAUACUGACACUCAGAUGCGAAAGCGUGGGGAGCAAACAGGAUUAGAUAACCCUGGUAG
RNAcentral lists this ribosomal RNA (474 nucleotides) under uncultured bacterium. Its description in RNAcentral is "bacterial SSU rRNA". It matches the Rfam family "Bacterial small subunit ribosomal RNA", at positions 328 to 793 of the family's 1533-position model. The record is from RNAcentral.